Ribosomal RNA from Faecalibaculum rodentium, 107 nucleotides. NCBI's taxonomy places the organism in Bacteria, Bacillati, Bacillota, Erysipelotrichia, Erysipelotrichales, Erysipelotrichaceae. The record is from Rfam.
UCUGGUGACGACAGCGAUGUGGAAAUACCUGUUCCCAUCCCGAACACAGAAGUCAAGCACAUCAACGCCGACGAUAGCCGAAAGGCAAAAAUAGGAAGUUGCCAGUU